AGGGGCGGGGAUAGCACCCACGGGUGGGGCAUAGAGGGUCAAGGCCUGGGACCCGCUUGUGGCCGACUCCGCCCAUCCACAAGCAGGUACCAGGGCCACGUGGGUGCAUCGCUGAUCGUGGGCGGCGUAGAUCUGACUGGACCGCAGCUCUACGGUGUACAUCCCCAUGGCUCCUACAGCCGUAUGCUCUUCACGGCCCUGGGCUCUGGCCAGGACGCUGCCCUGGCGGUGCUAGAAGACCGGUUCCAGCCGAACAUGACGCUGGAGGCUGCUCAGGGGCUGCUGGUGGAAGCCAUCACCACAGGAAUCUUGGGUGACCUGGGCUCCGGGGGCAAUGUGGACGCAUGUGUGAUCAUGAAGUCAGGCGCCAAGCUACUGAGGACACUGAGCUCGCCCACAGAACCCGUGAAAAGGUCUGGUCACUACCACUUUGUGCCUGGAACCACAGCUGUCCUGACCCAGACAGUGAAGCCGCUAACUCUGGAGCUAGUGGAGGAAACCGUGCAGGCUAUGGAGGUGGAGUAAAAUAGGCUUGAGGCUUAGAGCUUGGAACAAGGGGAAAUAAACCCAGAAAAUAAAAA
RNA transcript from Sapajus apella (tufted capuchin), 581 nucleotides. It is a transcript of the gene named proteasome subunit beta type-10 pseudogene, with no coding region annotated. The transcript has a single exon. Lineage: Eukaryota; Metazoa; Chordata; Mammalia; Primates; Cebidae. The record is from RefSeq and is a predicted model, not a curated record.